GACGAACGCUGGCGGCGUGCCUAAUACAUGCAAGUAGAACGCUGAAGGAGGAGCUUGCUUCUCUGGAUGAGUUGCGAACGGGUGAGUAACGCGUAGGUAACCUGCCUGGUAGCGGGGGAUAACUAUUGGAAACGAUAGCUAAUACCGCAUAAUAGUAGAUGUUGCAUGACAUUUGCUUAAAAGGUGCAAUUGCAUCACUACCAGAUGGACCUGCGUUGUAUUAGCUAGUUGGUGAGGUAACGGCUCACCAAGGCAACGAUACAUAGCCGACCUGAGAGGGUGAUCGGCCACACUGGGACUGAGACACGGCCCAGACUCCUACGGGAGGCAGCAGUAGGGAAUCUUCGGCAAUGGACGGAAGUCUGACCGAGCAACGCCGCGUGAGUGAAGAAGGUUUUCGGAUCGUAAAGCUCUGUUGUAAGAGAAGAACGAGUGUGAGAGUGGAAAGUUCACACUGUGACG
RNAcentral lists this ribosomal RNA (462 nucleotides) under Streptococcus mitis. Its description in RNAcentral is "bacterial SSU rRNA". It matches the Rfam family "Bacterial small subunit ribosomal RNA", at positions 28 to 474 of the family's 1533-position model. Lineage: Bacteria; Bacillati; Bacillota; Bacilli; Lactobacillales; Streptococcaceae. The record is from RNAcentral.